GCUGAUGUGUCAAAAAAAAUAUUUUUUAUUUUGAGAUUAAACAUUAGUUAUAUACUGAAGGGUAAAUUAGGAACAAAACUUUCAUGCUACUCCACCUCCUCCUCUCCAUUAUCAUCGUCGCAAUCGUCGGCACUCGGCACCUUCAAAUCACCGCCCAACAUUGCCGCCGAUCUGUAAGAUCCCAAAUCUGAUCAUGGGCAAUAAACCAUGAAACCAGAUUGAGAAUGCUACGAUAGAACUAAAAAGCCCCCAAAUCAGACAAAGGGUAAUAACCAAAUCAGACAUAACAACAAACAAAUUUACUACCAUCAAUAAACUAAACAUGAAAAGAUUAAGCAAUAACCCCUGUUCAGAAACACAAAUAAUUUAACUCAUUGAUUGCAACUGAUCUCAAAAAUAAAUGAAAAAAAAUCAUGCUAAUAGAUACAAAUUAGAGAUCGGACAUCUGGAACUUCACUCAUAUCCCGAUCUAAACAGUGUUAAUCACCUUCUUCAGAUUCCGGCAGCCCAAAAUUUUCAUAUCUGCCAGAUCUAGGGUUGACAGAACAAAUCAGGAUCUAGAAAGAGACGAAGAAUAGUACUAUCACAGUCAGAUCCAUCUUCCAAACCCCAAACAUUAUUAGCCAACAAGAUCCGUAACCCCAAAUCAGAGGCCCAAAUCAAGUAUUCCACACCAGAUCAUAAGCCCGAAUUCGUCGACGACGGUCGAGAGAAGAUGGUGACUUGCAGCACGAAUUCGUCGUUUCAGAAGAAAUAAGUCGAGGUUAUUGGACACACCGGAGCAAGAUGGGAGAUCAAUUCGUCGUUUCAGAAGAAAUUGUUAAUGGAUUUAUUGAGGAAUCGCCGGAUCGGUUGAGGAAGAGGAGAUGUAAUUUUCGGCUGGGUUUAGAUCGAUUGUAU
RNAcentral lists this long non-coding RNA (900 nucleotides) under Panax ginseng (ginseng). Its description in RNAcentral is "long non-coding RNA (PGIN_LNC003862)". The record is from RNAcentral. Lineage: Eukaryota; Viridiplantae; Streptophyta; Magnoliopsida; Apiales; Araliaceae.